AUUGAACGCUGGCGGCAGGCCUAACACAUGCAAGUCGAGCGGAUGAAGGGAGCUUGCUCCUGGAUUCAGCGGCGGACGGGUGAGUAAUGCCUAGGAAUCUGCCUGGUAGUGGGGGAUAACGUCCGGAAACGGGCGCUAAUACCGCAUACGUCCUGAGGGAGAAAGUGGGGGAUCUUCGGACCUCACGCUAUCAGAUGAGCCUAGUUCGGAUUAGCUAGUUGGUGGGGUAAAGGCCUACCAAGGCGACGAUCCGUAACUGGUCUGAGAGGAUGAUCAGUCACACUAGAACUGAGACACGGUCCAGACUACUACGGGAGGCAGCAGUGGGGAAUAUUGAACAAUGGGCGAAAGCCUGAUCCAGCCAUGCCGCGUGUGUGAAGAAGGUCUUCGGAUUGUAAAGCACUUUAAGUGGGGAGGAAGGGCAGUAAGUUAAUACCUUGCUGUUUUGACGUUACCAACAGAAUAAGCACCGGCUAACUUCGUG
Molecule: ribosomal RNA, 484 nt
Filed under: uncultured bacterium
Lineage: Bacteria
Description: partial 16S ribosomal RNA
Rfam family: Bacterial small subunit ribosomal RNA
Source: RNAcentral